This 302-nucleotide unclassified non-coding RNA is filed under the name uncultured fungus. Its description in RNAcentral is "partial contains small subunit ribosomal RNA, internal transcribed spacer 1, and 5.8S ribosomal RNA". The stretch from base 1 to 73 matches the Rfam family "Eukaryotic small subunit ribosomal RNA", at positions 1759 to 1831 of the family's 1831-position model. Lineage: Eukaryota; Fungi. The record is from RNAcentral.
GCAAACUUGGUCAUUUAGAGGAAGUAAAAGUCGUAACAAGGUUUCCGUAGGUGAACCUGCGGAAGGAUCAUUACCGAGUGCGGGCCCCUCUGGGGUCCAACCUCCCACCCGUGUCUAUCGUACCUUGUUGCUUCGGCGGGCCCGCCGUCCCGGCCGCCGGGGGGCCACACGCCCCCGGGCCCGUGCCCGCCGAAGCCCCCAUCCUGAACGCUGUGUGAAGGGUGCAGUCUGAGUGAUUAGCUAAAUCGGUUAAAACUUUCAACAACGGAUCUCUUGGUUCCGGCAUCGAUGAAGAACGCAGC